Molecule: microRNA precursor, 106 nt
Filed under: Prunus persica (peach)
Lineage: Eukaryota; Viridiplantae; Streptophyta; Magnoliopsida; Rosales; Rosaceae
Description: MIR6274 microRNA precursor family
Rfam family: MIR6274 microRNA precursor family
Source: Rfam by way of RNAcentral
GGAUAUCAUUGUUUUGCUAUCCCGGCCAGUAACAUGAUGACACGUAAAAAAGUUAUUCCACGUGUCAUUGUGUUAUUGGCCAAGAAUAGCAAAAAAAUUAUUAUCC